This 1542-nucleotide long non-coding RNA is filed under the name Helianthus annuus (common sunflower). RNAcentral's name for it is "hypothetical non coding rna". The record is from RNAcentral. Lineage: Eukaryota; Viridiplantae; Streptophyta; Magnoliopsida; Asterales; Asteraceae.
CCAAGUGAUUAGAACAACUCCCACUAUUGUUCGCUCCUCGCAGUUCAUCCAUAGAUAGAACAUUCCCUGGCUCCACCAACAGUGCCAACGAUUUCCCAGCAAGGCAUAUGGGCACCUUCGCAUAUGGGCACCUUCGUAUCUAUUUCUGUUUCACUAUUUCAAUUUGAGACCAAUUGCGUUAAUUAGUGGGUUAAAUGUGAUUGGACCAUCAAAAUGGGGCUUGGGCGUGGAACAUUCAACGCCAAACAGCCAAAAUUCAAAAAAACGCCCCGGGGGCCGACUUCGGUCAUGUUUGGGCGUGCUUCAUCACAAAAACGGCCAGUUUCACAACGAGUACACAUGGUCUAAAGUUUGAAAGUGUAGUCUUUCUGCAAAGUAAGGAGGAUGUAAUUAUUCUUGGGUUGUUAACGGGUUAGGGGAUGUUUGGUUGAAGAUGGAAGGAACUAGGAUUUUAGUUUCUAUUUAUGAACUGAUGAGUGUUUAUGUAUUUCACUGAGCCCUGAGAACUAAUUAAAAUGUGAUGUAUCUCUGUUUUUAGUAGACCUAUAUCAUGUGUAGCUUUAUAAAGAUCGCUAUUGCUAGUACACAAAACUAAAAACUUCAUCAUAAAUUUGGUGGUUUGCUCUUUUUCACGGUUGCAUUAAGUGUUAAGAAUUACAUUAACAAUAUUCACUGGCAAGUUUUAUGAGGAUGAUAUAACAUAGAUGUGACAAUUUUAAUUCAUGUAUUUGGGCAUUAGGUUAAUUUGGGUUAAUUUUUAUCUCAAACGGGUCAACCAAACCUAACCCGCCCCUUGUGACCCAUACUUUAUAAUAACACUAGCCCUAAAGAAGCCUAAACCAUGUCAAAAAAUUACAUCGAGUCAACCAAUUAAACAAAACACUUACCAUACUUUUCCAAAAAAAAAACAAUGGAAAAAUACUGCUUGGUAUGAAUAAAAUUACAUCGAGCCACUCAAUUAAAACAACACACUACCAUAGUUUUGUAAAAAAAACACUAAAAUGACUUUUACAGUGGGGGCAAAAUCAUAAUUUGACAGGAAAAAACAAAAACAAUGGCAAAACUAUACAUUUGAGCUUAGGGCAAAAUCGUAAUUUGACUAGGGUAAGAAAAAACCAAAACCAAUGUCAAAAAUGUAAAUGAACAUGUAUUUAUAGGGGAGGUUUAGCCCAACACUCCCCCUAAACCCUAAGCCCAUUGUACCCCUAACCCAUUACAUACAAGCUCAUUCUCAUUAAUAUACAAACUAGCCCAAUCAUUAUGUAACAACUAAUGUAUAAACCUUAUUGGCCCAACAAAGUUCGAAAGCAUAUUCGUAGUUUAAACGGGCGAAAUCGUAAUUUGGCUGAGCAAUGGGAAAGUGUCAGGCUUGCCUGACACUGUUCCCCUUUUUGCCCCACUCGUGUUGCGGGACACUAAGCCGAAUAUUUCUCUUUAAUAAUAUGUGCGUAUGUGUUUUGGUUACUUAUACAUACUACUCAUAACACGAUCUAAAUAAAUUUUUAUUGAGUUAACCAAUUAAAACAAAACACUACCAUACUU